RNAcentral lists this small RNA (67 nucleotides) under Cytobacillus oceanisediminis. RNAcentral describes it as "Bacillus oceanisediminis Bacillaceae-1 RNA". It matches the Rfam family "Bacillaceae-1 RNA". The record is from RNAcentral. Lineage: Bacteria; Bacillati; Bacillota; Bacilli; Caryophanales; Bacillaceae.
CACGAAGGAACGCAGACUAAGAACGCCACGUCCUGUGGCAACGUCUACAUGACCCGCAUCCUGUGGG